Molecule: ribosomal RNA, 814 nt
Filed under: Staphylococcus aureus
Lineage: Bacteria; Bacillati; Bacillota; Bacilli; Caryophanales; Staphylococcaceae
Description: bacterial SSU rRNA
Rfam family: Bacterial small subunit ribosomal RNA
Source: RNAcentral
UUCGUAGCGAACGGACGAGAAUUUUGGCUUCUCUGAUGUUAGGGGCGGACGGGUGAGUAACACGUGGAUGACCGACCUAUAAGACUGGGAUAACUUCGGGAAAGCGGAGCUAAUACCGGAUAUUAUUUUGAACCGCGGGGUUCAUAAGUGAAAGACGGUCUUGCUGUCCCUUAUAGAUGGAUCCGCGCUGCAUUAGCUAGGUGGUAAGGAAACGGCUUACCAAGGCAGCGAUGCAUAGCCGACCUGAGAGGGUGAUCGGCCACACUGGAACUGACACCCGGUCCAGACUCCUACGGGAGGCAGCGGUAGGGAAUCUUCCGCAUGGGGCGAAAGCCUGACGGAGCAACGCCGCGUGAGUGAUGAGGGUCUUCGGAUCGUAAAACUCUGUUAUUAGGGAAAAACAUAUGUGUAAGUAACUGUGCACAUCUUGACGGUACCUAAUCAAAAAGCCACGGCUAACUACGUGCCAGCAGCCGCGGUAAUACGUAGGUGGCAAGCGUUAUCCGGAAUUAUUGGGCGUAAAGCGCGCGUAGGCGGUUUUUUAAGUCUGAUGUGAAAGCCCACGGCUCAACCGUGGAGGGUCAUUGGAAACUGGAAAACUUGAGUGCAGAAGAGGAUAGUGGAAUUCCAUGUGUAGCGGUGAAAUGCGCAGAGAUAUGGAGGAACACCAGUGGCGAAGGGCGACUUUUCUGGUCUGUAACUGACACUGAUGUGCGAAAGCGUGGAGGAUCAAACAGGAUUAGAUACCCUGGUAGUCCACGCCGUAAACGAUGAGUGCUAAGUUGUUAGGGGGUUUCCGCCCCUUAGUGCUGCA